This 66-nucleotide transfer RNA is filed under the name Sthenoteuthis oualaniensis. RNAcentral describes it as "tRNA-Tyr". Lineage: Eukaryota; Metazoa; Mollusca; Cephalopoda; Oegopsida; Ommastrephidae. The record is from RNAcentral.
UACGGGAUGGUCGAUAAAGUCGGUAGAUUGUAAAUCUAUGAAUGAGUAUAUAAUACUCUUCCGUAA